RNAcentral lists this ribosomal RNA (378 nucleotides) under uncultured bacterium. RNAcentral describes it as "bacterial SSU rRNA". It matches the Rfam family "Bacterial small subunit ribosomal RNA", at positions 30 to 408 of the family's 1533-position model. The record is from RNAcentral.
AUUGAACGCUGGCGGCAUGCCUUACACAUGCAAGUCGAACGGCAGCACGGGAGCAAUCCUGGUGGCGAGUGGCGAACGGGUGAGUAAUAUAUCGGAACGUGCCCAGUCGUGGGGGAUAACGUAGCGAAAGCUACGCUAAUACCGCAUACGAUCUACGGAUGAAAGCGGGGGAUCGCAAGACCUCGCGCGAUUGGAGCGGCCGAUAUCAGAUUAGGUAGUUGGUGAGGUAAAGGCUCACCAAGCCGACGAUCUGUAGCUGGUCUGAGAGGACGACCAGCCACACUGGGACUGAGACACGGCCCAGACUCCUACGGGAGGCAGCAGUGGGGAAUUUUGGACAAUGGGCGCAAGCCUGAUCCAGCAAUGCCGCGUGCAGGA